UGUAUUGUGUUAUGUAAAGAUAUUGAAUUCUAUGUGAUGAAUUGAGAAAAUGGAUAGAAUAAAUAAGCUGAAGAUCAGUAAUUGAAUAUAUAUAAAUGACAAAGAGAGUAAGUGGGAGAUGAACUGAUAAGAAUAUGGAAAUAUUGUUGAAUUGAUAGUCAUAGAAUGGAUUAUGUGUUGAAUUAAGAUGGAAGUAGUAAGCCUUGGUGUUUUGUAGUUUGAUAAUUGAUUUUAGAUAGCCCGAGUAUAAUUAAUUGUGACACUAACAGACCCAAUUCAUAUAACCAG
This 288-nucleotide long non-coding RNA is filed under the name Physcomitrium patens. RNAcentral's name for it is "long non-coding RNA (PPAT_LNC004489)". Lineage: Eukaryota; Viridiplantae; Streptophyta; Bryopsida; Funariales; Funariaceae. The record is from RNAcentral.